GGAGAGAUGGCUCAGUGGUUAAGAGCACUGACUGCUCUUCCAGAGGUCCUGAGUUCAAUUCCCAGCAAUUAUA
This 73-nucleotide transfer RNA is filed under the name Mus musculus (house mouse). RNAcentral describes it as "tRNA-Ser". The record is from RNAcentral. Lineage: Eukaryota; Metazoa; Chordata; Mammalia; Rodentia; Muridae.